Molecule: ribosomal RNA, 441 nt
Filed under: uncultured bacterium
Lineage: Bacteria
Description: partial 16S ribosomal RNA
Rfam family: Bacterial small subunit ribosomal RNA
Source: RNAcentral
CUACGGGUUGCAGCAGUCAAGAAUCUUCCACAAUGCACGAAAGUGUGAUGGAGCGACGCCGCGUGAUUGAAGAAGCCCUUCGGGGUGUAAAAAUCUUUUCUCAGGGAGGAACUAAUGACAGUACCUGAGGAAUAAGGGGCUGCUAAACUCGUGCCAGCAGCAGCGGUAAUACGAGUGCCCCGAGCGUUACCCGGAUUUAUUGGGCGUAAAGCGUACGAAGGCGGCUGAUUAAGUCGAUGGUUAAAUCCUCCAGCUCAACUGGAGAACCGCCAUUGAAACUGCUCAGCUAGAGUCUGGUAGAGGCAAGCGGAAUUGCCGGUGUAGGGGUCAAAUCCGUUAAUAUCGGCAGGAACACCAAAUGCGAAGGCAGCUUGCUAGCACAGCACUGACGCUCAUGUACGAAAGCGUGGGGAGCGAAGCGGAUUAGAUACCCUCGUAGUC